UUUGGCGACAUUAGCACAAUGGUCCCACCUGAUCCCAUGCCGAACUCAGAAGUGAAACGUUGUAGCGCCGAUGGUAGUGUGGGGUCUCCCCAUGUGAGAGUAGGUCAUCGCCAGAU
This 116-nucleotide ribosomal RNA is filed under the name Psittacicella melopsittaci. Lineage: Bacteria; Pseudomonadati; Pseudomonadota; Gammaproteobacteria; Pasteurellales; Psittacicellaceae. The record is from RNAcentral.